UUUAUGGAGAGUUUGAUCCUGGCUCAGGAUGAACGCUGGCGGCGUGCCUAAUACAUGCAAGUCGAGCGAACAGACGAGGAGCUUGCUCCUCUGACGUUAGCGGCGGACGGGUGAGUAACACGUGGAUAACCUACCUAUAAGACUGGGAUAACUUCGGGAAACCGGAGCUAAUACCGGAUAAUAUAUUGAACCGCAUGGUUCAAUAGUGAAAGACGGUUUUGCUGUCACUUAUAGAUGGAUCCGCGCCGCAUUAGCUAGUUGGUAAGGUAACGGCUUACCAAGGCAACGAUGCGUAGCCGACCUGAGAGGGUGAUCGGCCACACUGGAACUGAGACACGGUCCAGACUCCUACGGGAGGCAGCAGUAGGGAAUCUUCCGCAAUGGGCGAAAGCCUGACGGAGCAACGC
Molecule: ribosomal RNA, 407 nt
Filed under: Staphylococcus epidermidis
Lineage: Bacteria; Bacillati; Bacillota; Bacilli; Caryophanales; Staphylococcaceae
Description: bacterial SSU rRNA
Rfam family: Bacterial small subunit ribosomal RNA
Source: RNAcentral